AUGAAUCAUUCAACUCUCCAGCUGUUAAGAGUUUUGAAUGCAUUAAAGAGGACACAGACAUCAAAAACAGGCCCUCAGCGGUCUGCUUCUCUGGAGAAGGCCUCCCUGAGGGCCUGGAGCUCGCCUCCUCCUGCUGUGCUCUCUAAGGAAACUGAAACUGGAGAUCAAAGGAUGAUGCGCUAUUCAAAAAAGUAACAGAACUCCAGACUGUAAGAAAAUGUUCUACAGCAAAAGAUUGAUGAGUAGAUACAGAAAGAAAUGAUGGAUGCCAACGUAAAUUAUUUGGGUAUACAAGUAUAACUUCUUAUCUUUCCUCAUUUUAUUUUUAUUUUUUCUCUUUUAUUAACCAGCUAACUACCAGUCCAGAUCGUGUCUGAUUAGAGAGAUUUUGUCAUGUUGAGGUCAGGGCCAGGCUAAAGUUUCUUUUGUUCUCUGAGUACAGUAUGAACAGGAUGUACUAUAGUCAUGAAUAGUGCGAAUAAGAUCCUGAAAAACAUUUUUCUAACCAGGACUUUUGGGCAUAAAUAUUUAUAACAAAGCUAAUUACAUAUUAUAGGGUAGUAGUAUCAUUUUCUAGGUUUGAAACCCUGUCUUCUGUUUUUAUCAAUUACUCCAUGAUUUCAAGACAUGGUUUCUACCACUGAGACAUUAUAAUAAUAAGACCAGCUCCCUGGGUUAAGAGGAUUAACUGUUAAUAUACAUAAAGCACAGUACCUGGCAUACGGUAGAAACUGAAAAUAUGAUACUUAUUUUCAGAUACUUAUUUUACUCCUUAAAGUAGGUUUCGAGUGCUUCUGUUUUCCAAUUGAUUUUUCAUAUAUUGAUGGGCUCUGGAAAUUGUCGGAUGAAAAAGAUUGAACUUUGUGCACCUUUUGGGAGUAGCUAAGGCAAAUUCGAGAGAACAAUAGGAUGGCUGGGACCCCGUAAUUAGAUUAUAUGGUGGCCAGAGGUCAAAACCGAGCAGCAAGCAGAACCUUCAGUUAAGGGUCAGUGAUCAAGCACAGGCAGAGGUCAGUCUUUGCCGGGAGCGCCCAAGCACUGUCGCCAGAGGCAAUAAGCUCCGCAGCAUGGUUACUGCAGGCACGUCCACUGCUGCUCUUCGCUCACUCUCCACACGACAAGGCCUUUUCAAGCCUAAAUCAGAUAUGUCACUCCUGUGCGCAAAACCGUACAGAGUCUUCUCAUUUCAGAGUAAAAGC
Molecule: long non-coding RNA, 1199 nt
Filed under: Microcebus murinus (gray mouse lemur)
Lineage: Eukaryota; Metazoa; Chordata; Mammalia; Primates; Cheirogaleidae
Description: lncRNA (ENSMICG00000048288.1)
Source: RNAcentral